RNAcentral lists this ribosomal RNA (466 nucleotides) under uncultured bacterium. Its description in RNAcentral is "SSU rRNA". It matches the Rfam family "Bacterial small subunit ribosomal RNA", at positions 26 to 521 of the family's 1533-position model. The record is from RNAcentral.
AGCCUGAACGCUGGCGGCGUGGCUAAGACAUGCAAGUCGUACGGUGUAGCAAUACACAGUGGCGAACGGGAGAGUAAUGAAUCGCUAAUGUACCCCGGACUCUGAGAUAGCCAUCCGAAAGGGUGGGUAAUACCAGAUGAUAUAUCUUUAUCGCAUGAUAGAGAUCUCAAAGGUCCGCCGGUCUGGGAGCAGGCGAUUUCGUAUCAGCUAGUUGGUGAGGUAACGGCUCACCAAGGCGACGACGCGUAGCCGGACUGAGAGGUUGGCCGGCCUCAUUGGGACUGAGACACUGCCCAGACUCCUACGGGGGGCUGCAGUAACGAAUCUUCCGCAAUGCACGAAAGUGUGACGGAGCGACGCCGCGUGUGGGACGAAGUCCUUCGGGAUGUAAACCACUGUCAGGGGUUACCAAGUUCUGAGGAGCCCCAGAGGAAGGGACGGCUAACUCUGUGCCAGCAGCCGCGGU